Molecule: ribosomal RNA, 182 nt
Filed under: Salmonella enterica subsp. enterica serovar Muenchen
Lineage: Bacteria; Pseudomonadati; Pseudomonadota; Gammaproteobacteria; Enterobacterales; Enterobacteriaceae
Also listed under: 8 other names
Description: partial 23S ribosomal RNA
Rfam family: Bacterial large subunit ribosomal RNA
Source: RNAcentral
CUAAAUGCGGAAGAGAUAAGUGCUGAAAGCAUCUAAGCACGAAACUUGCCCCGAGAUGAGUUCUCCCUGAGACUUUAGGUCUCCUGAAGGAACGUUGAAGACGACGACGUUGAUAGGCCGGGUGUGUAAGCGCAGCGAUGCGUUGAGCUAACCGGUACUAAUGAACCGUGAGGCUUAACCUU